This 24-nucleotide microRNA is filed under the name Equus caballus (horse). Its description in RNAcentral is "eca-miR-664". Its record names the gene eca-miR-664. The record is from miRBase by way of RNAcentral. Lineage: Eukaryota; Metazoa; Chordata; Mammalia; Perissodactyla; Equidae.
UAUUCAUUUAUCUCCUAGCCUACA